CACGUAGGGCGCAAGCGUUGUCCGGAAUUAUUGGGCGUAAAGAGCUCGUAGGUGGUUUGUUACGUCUGCUGUGAAAACCUAGGGCUUAACCCUGGGCUUGCAGUGGAUACGGGCAGACUAGAGGUAGGUAGGGGAGAAUGGAAUUCCUGGUGUAGCGGUGAAAUGCGUAGAGAUCAGGAAGAACAUCGGUGGCGAAGGCGCUCUGCUGGACCAUAACUGACACUCAGGGACGAAAGCUAGGGGAGCGAAUGGG
Molecule: ribosomal RNA, 253 nt
Filed under: uncultured bacterium
Lineage: Bacteria
Description: partial 16S ribosomal RNA
Rfam family: Bacterial small subunit ribosomal RNA
Source: RNAcentral